This 111-nucleotide transfer RNA is filed under the name Pangasius djambal. Its description in RNAcentral is "tRNA-Leu". It matches the Rfam family "tRNA". Rfam says of the family: Transfer RNA (tRNA) molecules are approximately 80 nucleotides in length. Lineage: Eukaryota; Metazoa; Chordata; Actinopteri; Siluriformes; Pangasiidae. The record is from RNAcentral.
GUCAGAAUGGCCGAGUGGUCUAAGGUGCCAGACUCAAGGUUUGAUACCUUCCAGUUAGUUGAGUCUUCUGGUCUCCACAUGGAGGCGUGGGUUCAAAUCCCACUUCUGACA